This 937-nucleotide long non-coding RNA is filed under the name Serinus canaria (Common canary). Its description in RNAcentral is "lncRNA (ENSSCAG00000001783.1)". Lineage: Eukaryota; Metazoa; Chordata; Aves; Passeriformes; Fringillidae. The record is from RNAcentral.
CAAAAGUUCACAUAAUUGAUCUGCUUAUGGACCAUCUUGUCUCUUACUAAUCUCUUAUUACUUGUGUUGUGAUAUCAUUUUACACUGGAAAUCAUGACCUACAGGCAGCAGCUGAAAGAUAGAAGGAUUCUGUGUGAACCACCAGUUAUUUAGGAGCUGGUAGGUGUUGGGGCUUUUUUCCUGAAACAGUAAUGAGUGCAGUCUGAUAGCUGAAGAAGAUAAAAUCUUGGCCGUAGCAGCAAAGUUUGUACAGUUUCUCCAGCCACAAGUGCCGUGAGCUGGUGAUAGCAGGCAAAUGUGGCUGCCAUCAUAUAUCUAUCUAUAUCUUCAGCCCCACAGAGCAAGGCUCCCUGGCAGAGAUUGGUAUUGCUUCUGAUCCAUGCACUUCCAAUAUUUGCUAGGAAUGGCAGUAUCUUGCUAGAAGGAUUAUACAAUGCUGCUAAUGACUAUUAAUUUGUUAAAGGAAUUAAGCAACUAGCCCUUAGGAUGAAGAUUUCAGGAAACCAGCAAAGUGCUUUGAACUGAAGAAGCACAGGACUUGAGAUGCACACAAUAUAAAAAGAAAGCAGUUAUGAUGCUAAGAGGGACAAUGCUGCCUACACCCAGGUGAAAUUACAAGAUGUUUGGCUGGGGAAUUGCAACAUAAAGGGAUUACUCACCACAAAGGAAAAUUCCAGAAGAGUUUUUCCAGAAAAAGCAGCAAAGAAGGCAUUAAAUUACAUGCUAUUUAUUUCUUUACUGUGAGGCCCUCAUGGUACCUUUACUCCAAGAAUUAUGCACUUAUGAUAUGACUCAAUAGCAACAAAUGGAAGACAUCAUGUCUAGCAGUGUGUAUAAUAGCGAAUUCAUCAUCUUCUCCAGCAUUCUAAAUGCCAUUCUUGCAGCAAGGAAUGAGGACAGGUCAGCAUCAUGGGCACUACUAAAGAACCAUCGAUAG